UUAAGUUCAGCGGGUAUUCCUACCUGAUCCGAGGUCAACCUUUGGUAAUUUGAGGUGUUUAACGGCCAGGAAACCCGCCGGGACAGGCCGAACGAAGAAUAAUUACUGCGCUCAGUGUCCGACGAGCCCGCCGAUAGACUUGAGGGCCCCGCGCGCGCUGGCGCGGGCGCCCCAACACCAAGCCAUUAAGGCUUGAGGGU
RNAcentral lists this unclassified non-coding RNA (200 nucleotides) under Magnaporthales sp. Its description in RNAcentral is "partial internal transcribed spacer 2". The record is from RNAcentral. Lineage: Eukaryota; Fungi; Ascomycota; Sordariomycetes; Magnaporthales.